AUACUUACCUGGUAGGGGAGACACCUUGAUCAUGAAGGAGGUUUUCCCACGGUGGGGCUCACCCACUACACUCCGAGUGUACUGACCCCUGCGGUUUCCCCAAAUGCGGAUAACUCAACUGCAUAAUUUGUGGCAGUAGAGGACUGCAUUCAUGCUUCCCCUG
Molecule: small nuclear RNA, 163 nt
Organism: Heteronotia binoei (common prickly gecko)
Lineage: Eukaryota; Metazoa; Chordata; Lepidosauria; Squamata; Gekkonidae
Product: U1 spliceosomal RNA
Exons: 1
Source: RefSeq, a predicted model, not a curated record